Molecule: non-coding RNA, 74 nt
Organism: Podarcis lilfordi (Lilford's wall lizard)
Lineage: Eukaryota; Metazoa; Chordata; Lepidosauria; Squamata; Lacertidae
Source: the annotation of a GenBank genome assembly
CCCUGGGAUAGCUCAGCCACUAGAACAUGAAACUCCUAAUCUCAGGAUUGUGGGUUUGAGUCCCACGUUGGGCA